RNAcentral lists this ribosomal RNA (253 nucleotides) under uncultured bacterium. RNAcentral's name for it is "partial 16S ribosomal RNA". It matches the Rfam family "Bacterial small subunit ribosomal RNA", at positions 524 to 776 of the family's 1533-position model. The record is from RNAcentral.
GACGAACCGUGCGAAUGUUGUUCGGAAUCACUGGGCUUAAAGGGCGCGUAGGCGGGCUGUCAAGUCUGGGGUGAAAUGCCGCGGCUCAACCGUGGAACUGCCUUAGAUACUGACGGCCUCGAGGAAGGUAGGGGCAUGCGGAACUGUAGGUGGAGCGGUGAAAUGCGUUGAUAUCUACAGGAACUCCGGUGGCGAAAGCGGCGUGCUGGACCUUUUCUGACGCUGAGGCGCGAAAGCUAGGGGAGCAAACGGG